This is a long non-coding RNA of Xiphophorus couchianus (Monterrey platyfish), 158 nucleotides long. RefSeq lists it as uncharacterized. The transcript has 2 exons. The record is from RefSeq and is a predicted model, not a curated record. Lineage: Eukaryota; Metazoa; Chordata; Actinopteri; Cyprinodontiformes; Poeciliidae.
GCUCGCUCUCCGACGGUAACUCACUUCUCCAGCCGCCACCAUUGACAAUACUAACCUCCGCAUUCAAUCUGAUGACCAGUUUCCUCCAGUCCCAGGUUCCAGAACUAUUUCCCCUGACCCCUCUUCCUUUCACCAAAAUAAAUAUUAUUGUUGUUUCA